GACGAACGCUGGCGGCGUGCCUAAUACAUGCAAGUUGAGCGAUGAAGAGUGGUUCUUGCACCGAUUUGAAGAGCAGCGAACGGGUGAGUAACGCGUGGGGAAUCUGCCUUUGAGCCGGGGACAACAUUUGGAAACGAAUGCUAAUACCGCAUAACAACGUUAAACAUAAGUUUUAAGUUUGAAAGAUGCAAUUGCAUCACUCAAAGAUGAUCCCGCGUUGUAUUAGCUAGUUGGUGAGGUAAAGGCUCACCAAGGCGAUGAUACAUAGCCGACCUGAGAGGGUGAUCGGCCAACUUGGGACUGAGACAAGGCCCAAACUCCUAAGGGAGGCCGCAGUAGGGAAUCUUAGGCAAUGGAAGAAAGUCUGACCGAGCAAAGCCGGGUGAGUGAAGAAGGUUUUCGGAUCGUAAAACUAUGUUGGUAGAGAAGAAAGUUGGUGAGAGUGGAAAGUUCAUCAAGUGACGGUAACUACACAGAAAGGGACGGCUAACUACGUG
Molecule: ribosomal RNA, 497 nt
Filed under: uncultured bacterium
Lineage: Bacteria
Description: partial 16S ribosomal RNA
Rfam family: Bacterial small subunit ribosomal RNA
Source: RNAcentral